Molecule: ribosomal RNA, 254 nt
Filed under: uncultured bacterium
Lineage: Bacteria
Description: partial 16S ribosomal RNA
Rfam family: Bacterial small subunit ribosomal RNA
Source: RNAcentral
UACGUAGGGUGCGAGCGUUGUCCGGCAUUAUUGGGCGUAAAGAGCUCGUAGGCGGUCUGUCGCGUCGAUCGUGAAAACUUGGGGCUUAACCCUGAGCUUGCGGUCGAUACGGGCAUGACUGGAGUUCGGCAGGGGAGACUGGAAUUCCUGGUGUAGCGGUGAGAUGCGCAGAUAUCAGGAGGAACACCGGUGGCGAAGGCGGGUCUCUGGGCCGAUACUGACGCUGAGGAGCGAAAGCGUGGGGAGCGAACGGG